Molecule: ribosomal RNA, 1210 nt
Filed under: Paenibacillus antri
Lineage: Bacteria; Bacillati; Bacillota; Bacilli; Caryophanales; Paenibacillaceae
Description: Paenibacillus sp. SYSU_K30003 partial 23S ribosomal RNA
Rfam family: Bacterial large subunit ribosomal RNA
Source: RNAcentral
UGGAUAAGUUAUAAAGAGCGCACGGAGGAUGCCUAGGCGCUAGGAGCCGACGAAGGACGUGGCGAACGACGAUAUGGCCUCGGGGAGCCGUAAGCAGGCUUUGAUCCGGGGAUGUCCGAAUGGGGAAACCCACACGGCGUAAAAACCGUGUACCUGCACACUGAAUACAUAGGUGUGAGGAGGCAGACCAGGGGAACUGAAACAUCUAAGUACCCUGAGGAAAAGAAAACAAUAGUGAUUCCGUUAGUAGCGGCGAGCGAAUGCGGAACAGCCUAAACCGGCGUGCUUGCACGCCGGGGUCGUGGGACGUCAUCACGGCGAAGAGCUGCGUAGUCGAAUGGUCUGGAAAGGCCAACCGAAGAAGGUAAUAGUCCUGUACGCAAAAUGCAGCUCCAGCCAGACGGAUCCCGAGUACCGCGGGGCACGUGAAACCCCGUGGGAAUCCGGCAGGACCAUCUGCUAAGGCUAAAUACUACCUAGCGACCGAUAGCGAAGCAGUACCGUGAGGGAAAGGUGAAAAGCACCCCGGAAGGGGAGUGAAACAGAACCUGAAACCGUGCGCUUACAAGAAGUCAGAGCCCUCUAUAUGGGUGAUGGCGUGCCUUUUGUAGAAUGAACCGGCGAGUUACGUUCCCGUGCGAGGUUAAGUCGAUGAGACGAAGCCGCAGCGAAAGCGAGUCUGAAUAGGGCGACUUACAGUACGUGGACGUAGACCCGAAACCGGGUGAUCUACCCCUGUGCAGGGUGAAGGUGCGGUAACACGCACUGGAGGCCCGAACCCACGAGCGUUGAAAAGCUCGGGGAUGACGUGGGGGUAGGGGAGAAAUUCCAAUCGAACUCGGAGAUAGCUGGUUCUCCCCGAAAUAGCUUUAGGGCUAGCCUCGGAGUAAAGAAUUGCGGAGGUAGAGCACUGAUUGGGUGCGGGGCCCGCCAAGGGUUACCAAGUCCAGUCAAACUCCGAAUGCCGCGUAUUCGUAUCCGGGAGUCAGACGGUGAGUGCUAAGAUCCAUCGUCAAAAGGGAAACAGCCCAGAUCAUCAGCUAAGGUCCCCAAGUGUGUGUUCAGUGGGAAAGGAUGUGGAGUUGCACAGACAACCAGGAUGUUGGCUUAGAAGCAGCCACCAUUGAAAGAGUGCGUAAUAGCUCACUGGUCGAGUGACUCUGCGCCGAAAAUGUAACGGGGCUAAACACACCACCGAAGCUAUGGCUUG